Molecule: unclassified non-coding RNA, 230 nt
Filed under: plant metagenome
Description: partial contains small subunit ribosomal RNA, internal transcribed spacer 1, and 5.8S ribosomal RNA
Source: RNAcentral
GUCUCCGUAGGUGAACCUGCGGAGGGAUCAUUACAGAGUUCAUGCCCUACCGGGUAGAUCUCCCACCCUAUGUUAUUAUUACUUUGUUGCUUUGGCGGGCCGUUAGGCUCCGGCCCGACUACCGGCCCCGGCUGGUAAGCGCCCGCCAGAGGACCCAAAACCCUGAAUAUUAGUGUCGUCUGAGUACUAUAUAAUAGUUAAAACUUUCAACAACGGAUCUCUUGGUUCUG